Small nuclear RNA from Zalophus californianus (California sea lion), 107 nucleotides. The record is from Ensembl. Lineage: Eukaryota; Metazoa; Chordata; Mammalia; Carnivora; Otariidae.
GUGCUCGCGUCGGCAGCACACACACUAAAACUGGAAUGAUACAGGGAAGAUUAGCAUGGCCCCUGCACAAGGAUGACUCGCAAGUUCAUGAAGCAUUUCAUAUUUUU